This 900-nucleotide ribosomal RNA is filed under the name uncultured bacterium. RNAcentral's name for it is "bacterial SSU rRNA". It matches the Rfam family "Bacterial small subunit ribosomal RNA", at positions 477 to 1379 of the family's 1533-position model. The record is from RNAcentral.
ACCCAAGGAGGAAGUUCCGGCUUAAUUACGUGCCAGCAGCCGCGGUAAUACGUAGGGAGCGAGCGUUAUCCGGAUUUAUUGGGUUUAAAGGGUGCGUAGGCGGUGCUAUAAGUCAGCGGUGAAAUUCUCCGGCUCAACCGGGGGACUGCCGUUGAUACUGUGGUGCUAGGAUAUGGUUGCUGUGGGUGGAAUGUGUGGUGUAGCGGUGAAAUGCUUAGAGAUCACACAGAAUAUCGAUUGCGAAGGCAGCUCACAAAGCCAUUAUUGACGCUGAGGCACGAAAGUGUGGGGAUCAAGCAGGAUUAGAUACCCUGGUAGUCCACACUGUAAACGAUGAUAACUCGCUGUCGGCGAUAUACAGUCGGUGGCCAAGCGAAAGCGAUAAGUUAUCCACCUGGGGAGUACGACCGCAAGGUUGAAACUCAAAGGAAUUGACGGGGGCCCGCACAAGCGGAGGAACAUGUGGUUUAAUUCGAUGAUACGCGAGGAACCUUACCCGGGCUCGAACGGUGCAGGAAUACAGCAGAGAUGUUGUAGCUAGCAAUAGUCUGUAUCGAGGUGCUGCAUGGUUGUCGUCAGCUCGUGCCGUGAGGUGUCGGCUUAAGUGCCAUAACGAGCGCAACCCUUGUCGUUAGUUGCCAUCAGGUAAAGCUGGGGACUCUAACGAGACUGCCACCGUAAGGUGUGAGGAAGGGGGGGAUGACGUCAAAUCAGCGCGGCCCUUACGUCCGGGGCGACACACGUGUUACAAUGGUAGGUACAGAGGGCAGCUACCCGGUGACGGGAUGCCAAUCUCCAAAACCUAUCUCAGUUCGGAUCGGAGUCUGCAACUCGACUCCGUGAAGUUGGAUUCGCUAGUAAUCGCGCAUCAGCCAUGGCGCGGUGAAUACGUUCCCGGGC